Molecule: ribosomal RNA, 253 nt
Filed under: uncultured bacterium
Lineage: Bacteria
Description: partial 16S ribosomal RNA
Rfam family: Bacterial small subunit ribosomal RNA
Source: RNAcentral
UACGUAGGCAGCAAGCGUUGUUCGGAGUUACUGGGCGUAAAGGGUGCGUAGGCGGCUUUUUAAGUCUGGUGUGAAAUCUCCCGGCUCAACUGGGGGGGUGCGCCGGAUACUGCGGGGCUAGAGUGUGGGAGAGGAAAGUGGAAUUCCGAGUGUAGAGGUGAAAUUCGUAGAUAUUCGGAAGAACACCAGUGGCGAAGGCGACUUACUGGACACAUAUUGACGCUGAGGUGCGAAAGCGUGGGGAGCAAACAGG